GGGGUUCAGACCCAGGGUCCCGAGCUUAAUGAUGAUCUUUUAGGGUACUAUGGUGUUGAAGGCUUAGCUACAUGACCCGCUAAACCGCGCACUUUAACACCCGCCGGCUUAACCCGGAAGCCAGCUGCACCAAUGUGUUGGAGGAAACACUUUUCAAUUUAAGACCAAAGUCAGCUUGCAGGCGCCCGGUCCACCACAAGGAGUCACUAGAGCGCAAUGAGCCAAAGAAAGCCUCCCGGGCCAAACCCUCGCCUAACCCGGAUGACGUUGGGCCAAUUGUGAGCCGCCAGUUACACAUCCUGGGAUUGAAUCCGGCUCUGUAGGGACACCUCAAGCACUGCGAUCUUGCCACCCAUUCUGAAACUAACUGCAGCUCUUUGUUAAUUGUUGCAGUCAUUUCAGUCGCUGUAGUAGCUGACAUGUAGAGUGUUGAGUCAUCCGCAUACAUAAACACACUGGCUUUACGCAAGGUAUGUCGAUAAUAAAGAUUGAAAAAAGUAAGGGGCCUCGACAGCUGCCCUGGGUAAUUCCUGAUUCUACCUGGAUUAUGUUGAAGAGGCUUCUGUUAAAAACACCCUCUGUGUUCUGUUAGACAGGUACAUCUUUAUCCACAUUAUAGCAGGUGGUGUAAAGCCAUAACACAUAGGUUUUUCCAGCAGCGGACUAUAAUCAAUAAUGUCAAAAGCCGCACGGAAGUCUAACAUAACAGCCCCCACAAUCUUUUUAUCAUCAAUUUCCCUCAGCCAAUCAGUCAUUUGUAUGAUAGUGCAUUGAUCAGAUACAGUUUAAAGUUUUUUUUGCCCAGUUGACCUUUUAAGGGCUAUCUGUUGUCUACACAGGAUCACAAGUUACAAUGACAUUUUUUUCAGAAACACUUCCAGCAGGGCACACUACUGGAAGACCCCUCAGCAUGGUUAUCCCUAAAAGCAGCUAAUGGAUUGAACAUUUCAUAUUUGUGACUCCAGGUUAAAAGUGAAAUCCUGGUGUGGGGUCGGACCAGAGCAGGAGAAGAGGGCAAGAACUACCAGUGUCUAGUGGAGCCAAUCAUUGAGAAUGAGUUGCUCAUCACCCAAGCUGUGUUCAGAGUCCAGCAGGGAAGGCUGCCUAUCCGACUGAGGAACAUCGGAGACUGCCCUACGUCGACACCAAACACUUGCCAUGGCCUUCAUAGUGAACCCUGCAGACGUCAUAUAGAAUGAUGUGAGUAUAUCCAGGGUGGGGGAACAGGCUUUGCAAGACAGUUUAGCACAUGUAUAACCACCAACAACAGCCUAUACAUCAACCGACUACAGAACAGCCUAUACUAGUUGACCUGACAGGUGUAGACAUUUCCCCUUAACAGAGAAUGAAACUGCAAGCACUGUUACAAAAGCACCAGGCUCCAUUUGCUGCCCAUGGUAAAGAUAAUGGAAUACAACCAUAGUGCUGUUAGGCGGGGCGGAGCAGGUGAACCCAAGUGCAGACUCAUACGAGGAGACAGGAGUAAGGUAACUAAGGUAUGUAUUGAAAAGCAGGGGGGAGAUGGGGUGCAGGCCAGGUGAAACUCAGGCGGGUAGCAUGGAACCAGGAACUGAGGCUGGCUCAAGAGGAGUAGGGUUAGGGUGACCAGGUCCGAAGUGGAAUCCAAGGAAGCAGUAGAGCGGGGGUCCAGGGCAGGGAAGCAGGACUGACGAGACGAGGGACUUGAGAAAGGUACCAGAGUCAGAGCGUACUGAACUGUAGCAGAGAGAAAAGCAGCGUCAGGCUAGGGAAAAACUGGCACAACAGGAUAACAAGAUCUAAGCAGGAACAAACGGCUUGAAAUGACUGAGCAGAGGCUACGAUCUAGCAGCGUGGAAGUGGUGGGGCUGAGUAUUUGUAGAGGUCUUGAUUAUGGAACAGGUUGCAGCUGGUGGGGAUACGCUCAGCCUCCAGCACACCUGUCUCUACUCACACAAUCACAUAAACCCACAGAGGGAGAGAGCACUGGGGGAGUGGCGGCAGGUUAGGGAGACAUGAUGAGAAGCAGAGGGCAUGGCAGGAGAAGAUGUAACAAGUGCAGCAUGUGAUCUCCACUGGAGAUAUAGCCCCAGUCAGAGAGCGCCACAGACAAAUCCCUCCCAAAAAUGUACCAAGAAGUGAAAACUGUCACGUCUGCUCCUGCUCCCCCUCUCUGGCGCUGGAGGUCGCCAGGCUGCUCAGCAUUACGCACACCUGUCACAAUGGUUAAGCGCACCUGCUCUUCGUCAGACUCACCUGGACUCCAUCACGUCAUUGAUUGCCUCCCCUAUAUCUGUCACUUCCUCUGUUUCAUUCCUGUGUCUGCAUUGAUGUUGUUAUGUUUCUCCAGUCCAGACGCUGGUCUUGGUUUAUGGCUAUUACUGAUUAAACCUGUACUUACUUACACCCUGUACUUGCUUCUUGUCUUCCAGCUUCUGUUGUUACAGAAAGCAUUGAUUCAAGGUAUGUUGAACUCAGGAAUAGUUAACCCAUGCACUAGCCCAUGGGCAGCCCCUAUUGUUUUGGUUAGAAAGAAGGAUGGCAUAUUGAGAUUUUGUGUGUACUAUCGUAAACUAAGCUAAACUAAAGUCACAAACCGACAAUGGUGCUUACCCACUCCCUCGUAUAGAGGAAUCUCUAGCCAGUUUGACCAAAGCCAAGUACUUCUCAACUUUAGACCUUGCUAUUGGCAGGCCCAGAUGUCUCCAGCACAUUAUGGAAAAGACUGCUUUAACAACUCCAAUGGAUUUGUUCGAGUUUGAUCGGAUGGCAUUUGGGGUUAUGCAACUGGCCUUCUACAUUCCAAAGAUUGAUCCAAACAUGUUUAGGAUAGCAAACUCUAGUAUCACUUUUGAUCUAUCUGGAUGAUGUUAUUGUGUUUUCUAAAUAUCUACAUCAGCCCAUCUAAAUCACAUGGAUUUAGUUUUCAGCAGACUAGCUAACUAUGGACUCAAACUGAAACCAAACAAAUACAUCUUUCUGAAGCAAGAAGUACAGUACCUGGGGCAUCGGGUAUCUCCUGAAGGAGUAUCAUCAGACCCGGACAAGGUCAAGUGUGUGUGUGUGCAGGACUGGCCCACACCCAAAACGGUAAAGGAACUUUGGUCAUUUCUUGGCUUAGCAGGAUACUACUUUAGAUUUGUAAAGGACUUUGCCAGAGUGCCAGCCCCUUACUUGAGCUGUUAACAGGGAUGGCCCCUAAACAAACAAGAAAGUAUCUCGACUCUCCUACCCACACUGGCUGGAAUCAGGCAUGUAAUAUGUCUUUUGCAAUCUUAAAACGGUCCCUCACUACCUCUCCAACUCUAGCUGACAUCUGUAUACAGAUGCCAGUAAGAGAGGCUUAGGGGCAAUUCUAGCCCAGGUACAAGAGGGUAAAGAACGGGUAAUCUCAUUUGCAAGUAGAAGCCCCCAUCCCUCAAAGAAAUUACGGUAACUAUACAUUUAAACUUGAAUUCCUUGCACUGAAGUGGGCCGUUACUGAAACGUUUGCAGAAUACCUCAAUGCCUCACCUAUUGUGGUUUAUACAGGCAAUAAUCCUCUGGUACAUCUAAACUCAGCUAAAUUGGAAAGCAGAGAUUGGUAGCCAGAUUGGCAAGUAUUGUGUAGGACGUAAUAACCAGAGUGCAGAUGCCUUGUCUCAUUUCCAUCCAGAAAACACAAUCCCAAACCAGCUGGAGGACUGAGACCCGGCAUUCCAGGAGAUGCCACCCAAAGUGGUAAAGACCCUGUGUGUGGGGGUGGGGUGGAGGACAAACAAGCCGUCAGAAGACCAGGAAGCAGAAGAAGGUCACUGCAAGCCACUCAUACCAGAGAUAACUGGCUCCGAAGAAGAGCCUUCAAGAACCGCACUGUGCUUUCUAUCUUCUCAUACUUAUAAGAGAAAAAUGACAUGAUUAUUAAGGCUACAUUUUUACAUGAUCUCCAUCAGAGAUCCAUUCCUAUUACUGAAACAUGGUAUAGUACUUUAAGAGUUUUAAAUGAAAAUAUGAGAUAGUUAGAAACUGAAAUGGUUGUUAUAUGGUAGGCCUAGUUUACAUGUACAUUCAAAAACCUUUCCAAUAACAGUAGAUGUCUAAAUGUGUGCUGUGUUAACACAGGUCAGGCACGGUUUCCAUAAAGAAUUCUUAAACACUCCCACUGGGCACACAGUGGUUGAAUCAACAUUGUUUCCACGUCAUUUCAAUUAAAUUACGCUGAACCAACAUGGAAUAGACAUUGAACUGACGUCUGUGCCCAGUGGGCUGUGACUUCUGGGAGAGGAUGAGGGCAGCCACCUGACAGACAGGAACGAGAGUCGAAAGAGGCCCUAGAUGUGCUCCGGGAAUGGAAUCAUCUUACAUGGAAAGAGGGUGUGUUGUGUCGGACAUUCCAGGACCUCAAAGAGGUAGAGCCGAUUGUCCAGCUGGUUGUCCCUACUGGUGAGAGACAGCUGGGAACUGUAUCAUGGGAGGGCAGGCUACUGGGAGGCAGAAAAGACCACAGCGCUAAUCCAUGCCAGAUUCUAUUGGCCAAACCUAGCCAGAGACAUUCCAAAUUGGUGUGCCACUUGUCAGCUUUGUGUCUUACGAAAGGCCCAGUUUGUCUGAAACAAGCACCUUCAGUGCCAAUCAAAAUGUCAGCCCCUCUUGAACUAAUGUCUAUAGACUACCUGAGCAUAGGUCAUCCAGAGACCCUCAUCACAACGUGCUGGUAAUCGUAGACCAUUUCACUAAAUAUACUUGGGCCACCCCUACUAGGGACCAGACGGAGACUACUACUGCAAAUGCACUGUGGCAGAAGGGAACGGCGGGUGUGAAAGAUUUAAUGGAAUGACCAUAGGUUUGCUGGGGACGCUUGGAGUGGAAAGACGGAAAGACGGCGCUGGCAUUUCCUGCAGGAAAUGAUUGAGAUAUACAACAACACGUUGCACAACACUACAGGAUAUACUGUACACCUGCUGAAGAAUCCCCUCUGCUGCCUGGGGAGUAGACACUCGUGAGAGACAUUAGAGCAAGGGGCCGGGGUAAGCUUGCAGACAAUUUGGAGCAGCUCCCUCAUGUGGUAGUAAAACAAUCUGACCCAGAACUGCCGGUCUAUGUGGUCAGACCAGAAAAAGUAAUGGGAGAGGGUUUUGCACCGUAAUCUUGUUCAUUUCUCCCAGUAGAGAGACCAGCACAACCCCCUAGGGAAGUUGAUCUCCCUUUUAGACUAAACAAAGCCCCCAGCCACCCUCUGACUAACACGCCAUUGAGAGAUACAAUUAUAGCCCCUGUUGCUGUCUCCUGGAUUGGGUUUUGGGUCCCUACAGGUGCUGAGCCGGAAGCUGGAGAUGGGUGCCAUGGUGAUGCAGAGAAACUAUGAGUGGGAGAUGGGUGCCAUGGUGAUGCAGAGAAACCACGAGCGGGAGAUGGGUGCCAUUGUGCCACGGAAGACUGCAGGUGGGAGAUGGGUGUCCGUGGGACUCCAAUCUGAAGAUGGGGACCACUGUGGCAGGGCUGAAAAUGGCCAAUGUAACCUUCAUGAACCAAGAGAUCUACAAGGACCACCAAGGGAGUUCACCCCAUAAGAAACAGAGACUUAGGUUAAACGGUUGGGUUAUGUUAUGGCCAUUGGGGACACUGACCUUUCAGCGGGGAAGGAUGUAACAGGGUUCUACAAACCUGCUUAACGUUAUUACUUCUUUCACUAGUGUGGUUUGACUGAGCACAUACUUUACAUGUUUUCACAUUUUGAAUUAUUUGCACGAUUGAGAAUUCUGCACUUAACGAUUGAUUUUGCGCACGUCACCAUAGUUUGCUGUGUUUCACGAUUGAUUUAAGGUGUGUACAGUGCUGGUUACACCCCUCUCUCUCUCUCUCUUCCCUUCCUACAUAAUGAUCUCCAGUCAGUUCUCUGGUAACAAUGUCUGACACCAGGUGUUUCUGUUAAGGUUGGUCCGCUAUCCUUUUCCUCAUGGUCGUGUGCCCUAUUGUAUAAUUAUUGGAAUGCUGUCUGAUAUCGGGUGUAUGUGGCAAGGUCUGUGCUGGGAAACCCUGAGCUGCCCGUGAGCUAUCCACGCAACUGUUGAUGCUACUGUAGAUACUGCCGCUGAGCAGCUACUGAGCUACUAAAUGAACUGAGUUCAACUGAAUGUGUGCAGUACGUGAAGCAGACUACGGUGGGCCGCUCUGCUUGAACACCCCAACAGCAACGGAUGAACUGAACUAGCCUACUGGACUGCUGGCAAUCCUUUUUAAUCAAGAACCUCUUUUGUGACUCCCUUUCCUCUUCCC
Oncorhynchus kisutch (coho salmon) is the source of this 6234-nucleotide long non-coding RNA. RefSeq lists it as uncharacterized. The record is from RefSeq and is a predicted model, not a curated record. The transcript is spliced from 3 exons. Lineage: Eukaryota; Metazoa; Chordata; Actinopteri; Salmoniformes; Salmonidae.